AGAGUUUGAUCCUGGCUCAGGAUGAACGCUAGCUACAGGCUUAACACAUGCAAGUCGAGGGGAAACGACAUCGAAAGCUUGCUUUUGAUGGGCGUCGACCGGCGCACGGGUGAGUAACGCGUAUCCAACCUGCCCACCACUUGGGGAUAACCUUGCGAAAGUAAGACUAAUACCCAAUGACGUCUCUAGAAGACAUCUGAAAAGAGAUUAAAGAUUUAUCGGUGAUGGAUGGGGAUGCGUCUGAUUAGCUUGUUGGCGGGGUAACGGCCACGAAGGCGACGAUCGAGUAGGGGUUCUGAGAGGAGGUCCCCCANAUUGGAACUGAGACACGGUACCAAACUCCGUACGGGAGCA
Molecule: ribosomal RNA, 354 nt
Filed under: uncultured bacterium
Lineage: Bacteria
Description: bacterial SSU rRNA
Rfam family: Bacterial small subunit ribosomal RNA
Source: RNAcentral